RNAcentral lists this ribosomal RNA (333 nucleotides) under Triticum aestivum (bread wheat). RNAcentral's name for it is "partial small subunit ribosomal RNA". The record is from RNAcentral. Lineage: Eukaryota; Viridiplantae; Streptophyta; Magnoliopsida; Poales; Poaceae.
AUGGCCGACCAACGUAGAGGCCAUCGUCUGCAGCCACAAGGAGUGGGUGAUGUUGAAGAUGGCCGUGGGACUGCGGAGCUCCGGCAAGACAUAGGAUGCUGUGGUGUGGCACGGAGCUCAGCGGUCGAAAACAAGACUAGAACCGUCGUACUUGCGGUUAUGGUAAUCGGCCUAUGUUCCUUCUUCUACCUCUUGGGCGCGUGGCAAGCAAAACAGGUUGGAGGAGGGGACUGCAUAGCAAGAAGGCUGAUUGAGGAGACGAAAUGUGUGGUUCUGGAGGGUCUUCAUGUGGAGACUCAUCUUGUCCUCGGUGACAAGCCCUCGUGGAGAUGA